AGGACUAACGCUGGCGGCGUGCCUAACACAUGCAAGUCGAACGAGAGUAGCAAUACUCUAGUGGCAGACGGGUGAGUAACACGUGGUCAACCUACCUCUAUGUGGGGGAUAACUAGCCGAAAGGUUAGCUAAUACCGCAUACGAUCGUCGAGCGGCAUCGCUUGACGAUGAAAGGAGCAAUCCGCAGAGAGACGGGACCGCGUCCCAUUAGCUAGUUGGUGGGGUAAAGGCCUACCAAGGCGACGAUGGGUAGCUGGCUUGAGAGAGCGACCAGCCACACUGGGGACUGAGACACGGCCCAGACUCCUACGGGAGGCAGCAGUGAGGAAUUUUCCGCAAUGGGCGAAAGCCUGACGGAGCGACGCCGCGUGUGGGAAGAAGGCCUUCGGGUCGUAAACCACUGUCGAAGGGGAAGAUAUUGACGGUACCCUUGGAGGAAGCCCGGCUAACUACGCGCCAGCAGCCGC
Molecule: ribosomal RNA, 467 nt
Filed under: uncultured bacterium
Lineage: Bacteria
Description: SSU rRNA
Rfam family: Bacterial small subunit ribosomal RNA
Source: RNAcentral